GUCCUCCACCUGGAGGGAUCACCGGCGAUAUCCUCUACUGUCUCAUCCAGUAGUCCCACUUGGGUUAUAGGUGAUUUCACCAACCUGCAUUGUGGUUUUCUGGUUGCUACCUCUUUGAAGUAUCCACUUCAGCCACUAGCAGAGACCAUUCUCAUUGCACUGUUACACCUUUUAUCACUAUUUCAACAAUCAUCCAGUACUUAUCUGUUAGGGAUAUUGUACAUCUUGGUUCGAAUUUGGAUCCCCUGGGAUUUCAUUCUAUAUCAUUCUAUAUUAUUUAAUAAUUCUGAUUUUGCAUUGGUGUAACAGUGCCUAUUGUGUAAUGUUAUAUGUUACAUCCUUCCUGUCACUAUUCCUUACCACCUGACCGUAUUACUGACUGCAUACGACAGUGCCUGACUGACCUAAAUUGCUUUCUAUUCUAUAUGUGUUACUGUUCAUUGGUAUUAGAUCUUGAAUAUUAAUAGCAUUACCAAUUUAUAUCUACUCUCUGAUGAGUCCUGCACAUUACAGGAUGAAACGCGUUGGAGUUCUGCCACCAUCUGCUUUUAAUUCCCUUACCCUAUCCACACUAUAUUAGGAAGGGCCCAUUGUAGGUAGCUAAGAUUAGAUAUUCCCCUGUACCCUUUUCCCCAUUCCCCCACACUGAUGGUGUUAUUACGGUAACCUUAUAUUUGAUUUAUUUUAUGUUUUGAUCUAUAAGUAAAAGUUAUGUUUUAUUCAUUCACCUAAUUGGUGUACUUUCUUUGUGGAUAUGAACAUGGUUAUAGCAGGAAAACUCAA
Molecule: long non-coding RNA, 783 nt
Organism: Hyla sarda
Lineage: Eukaryota; Metazoa; Chordata; Amphibia; Anura; Hylidae
Exons: 4
Source: RefSeq, a predicted model, not a curated record